UUCCAUACUCCCUUAGGGCUUUAUCUUUGGAAUCUCAAAAUUCCUAAGAGGUCUCUGGGAACAAGCAAAGCAGGCAAACGACAAAGUAGCUUAAUUGGGAAAACAUUUACUGUGUGCCUACUCUCAUCACACAUGGCUCUAGAGGUCUUUGGAGAUACAGGUCUCACUUCAAACUUCCGGUUGGCACCAUCACUGCCAUUUCACAGCUGGAGGACCUGGCCCAGAGAAAAAGAGCAACCUAUCCCAAGCUACCCAGCUGAAGCACAGAUAUGGAGAAAAAGAAAUGCCAAACAAAAACUCAGAAGCAGCACAGAGCUCUACCAGUAACCUGCCCGCAUCUCUGUAAUAAAUCCUUUUCAUUCUACUUGAUUAAUACCAUGCAGGAGCACCUCAGAGUCCUCUCUGUCUCCCCACAGUGCCUCACUGAGUACACUGCAAGCCAAGCACUGAACAUUUUUUGCUAAAUAAAUGAAUGGAUGUCAACUAA
Long non-coding RNA from Canis lupus familiaris (dog), 487 nucleotides. RefSeq lists it as uncharacterized. NCBI's taxonomy places the organism in Eukaryota, Metazoa, Chordata, Mammalia, Carnivora, Canidae. The transcript has 2 exons. The record is from RefSeq and is a predicted model, not a curated record.